UAUUUGAGCUGAGAUCAUGUAAUCCUACAAAAUGAGAAUGAGUAUGAAAUUAGGAGAAGACAGAGAAAGAAAAUAUGUUUUUUGAAACACUACAAUCAUUUACUGUUCAAAGAGAAUGAGUUUGAAACAAGGAGAAGGCAAAGAAAGAAAAUCAAGCCUUGCUACAACUGUUUGUUUGCCAAAUGACUUUCCAAUUUUAGUAUGGAGGAUAUUAGUUUUGAACAAUAAAAUUCAUUACAGGUGCUAGUACUAGCACCUGGUCUAUAAUUGCAAUAUGUUAUGCUGAUUGUUGUUCCUUUCUUCAUUCUUAAGAAGAAUGAUUUCGAGAGGUGGGCAAUGUUAUAAUUAAGUAGUUAUUGAUCAGAGUUGGAUUAUGUCGUUACAUAUUGAAGUGGGAAAUGAGAGUGAAUGGUAUAAAUAGCCCUUGCAUUGUUAUUGAUAGGCAUUCAUCAAAUCAA
This 458-nucleotide unclassified non-coding RNA is filed under the name Hevea brasiliensis (rubber tree). Lineage: Eukaryota; Viridiplantae; Streptophyta; Magnoliopsida; Malpighiales; Euphorbiaceae. The record is from RNAcentral.